RNAcentral lists this ribosomal RNA (305 nucleotides) under uncultured bacterium. RNAcentral describes it as "bacterial SSU rRNA". It matches the Rfam family "Bacterial small subunit ribosomal RNA", at positions 335 to 658 of the family's 1533-position model. The record is from RNAcentral.
GCCCUACGGGGGGCAGCAGUAGGGAAUCUUCCACAAUGGGCGCAAGCCUGAUGCAGCAACGCCGCGUGAGCGAUGAAGGCCUUCGGGUCGUAAAGCUCUGUCCUCAAGGAAGAUAAUGACGGUACUUGAGGAGGAAGCCCCGGCUAACUACGUGCCAGCAGCCGCGGUAAUACGUAGGGGGCUAGCGUUAUCCGGAAUUACUGGGCGUAAAGGGAGCGCAGGCGGCACGGCAAGCCUGAUGUGAAAGCCCGCGGCCCAACCGCGGGACUGCAUUGGGAACUACCGGGCUGGAGUGCCGGAGAGGG